RNAcentral lists this long non-coding RNA (1075 nucleotides) under Lonchura striata (white-rumped munia). Its description in RNAcentral is "domestica (Bengalese finch) lncRNA (ENSLSDG00000006472.1)". Lineage: Eukaryota; Metazoa; Chordata; Aves; Passeriformes; Estrildidae. The record is from RNAcentral.
CGGCUGGGGCUUCAUCUCGGACGUGGACAUCGACAGCGAGAAGUACCGCUGGCUGGGCAGCGCCCGCUUCACCCUGGGCACCCUGCAGUGCCUGGCCAAGCUCAGGGUGUACCAGGGCCGCCUGUCCUACCUGCCCAUGGCCGCGGAGCAGGGCAGCUCCCCGUGCCCCCGGGACGCCCCCGCGCCCGUCACCAACGGCCACAUCCCGCAGCCGGCGGGGACCGAGGCGCCCGGCUCCCCGCCCCCCGACCCGCUGCUGGUGCCGCUGGGCCAGCCCGUGCCGCCGCACUGGACCGUGGUGCCCGAGGAGGAGUUUGUCCUGGUCUACGCCAUCUACCAGUCCCACCUGGGCACCAACCUGCUGAUGGCACCGGCAGCCCGGCUGCACGACGGCUGCAUCCACCUCUUCUACAUGAAGGCCGGCAUCAGCCGCGUGACGCUGCUGAAGCUCUUCCUGGCCAUGUCCAGGGGGACCCACCUGGACUUGAACUGUCCCCACCUGUCCUACGUCCCGGUGCGGGCGUUCCGCCUGGAGCCGCGCGUGGCCGCGGGCAUCAUGACGGUGGACGGGGAGGCGCUGGCCUGCGAGCCCGUGCAGGGCCAGGUCCAUGCCCGCCUCUGCCGCGUCCUCAGCGGCUCCUGAGCUCCCCGUUCGCCCUCCCUGCGGCGCUGAGCUGCCGGCACGGCCCGGCGCGAGGGUGGCAGAGCCUUCCUCCCACUCAGGAACCCCCUCCUUCCACAGCAAUAGGUCUUGGGGGGGCGUGGGGCUCAUCCCCUCGCUUGCCCCCACGCUUAGCUUUACCGCCUUGGGACAGCUACCAGUGCUGUUCCAAAAAUGAGCCACAAGCCCCAUCAGGUACUCGGUGCCGGCGAGAUGCCAGCGUGUUUUAUCCUGGUACGAGGUCCCGGCCCCCAGGCGGCUGCGCCGGCACAGCCCCGUCCCCUCCCCGGCUCGGACGCACACGCGGUGGCAUUGCUGUGUCCUCACCCCAGAGCCAGUGCCACCCCCCCAGGGAGGGUCAGGACCAAUAGAUCUAAUACAAUAAACCGACUUUUUAAAGAAUGUUUCUACCCA